UAGCAUAUCAAUAAGCGGAGGAAAAGAAACCAACAGGGAUUGCCCUAGUAACGGCGAGUGAAGCGGCAACAGCUCAAAUUUGAAAUCUGGCGCAAGCCCGAGUUGUAAUUUGUAGAGGAUGCUUCUGGGUAGCGACCGGUCUAAGUUCCUUGGAACAGGACGUCAUAGAGGGUGAGAAUCCCGUAUGUGACCGGCCCGCACCCUUUACGUAGCUCCUUCGACGAGUCGAGUUGUUUGGGAAUGCAGCUCUAAAUGGGAGGUAAAUUUCUUCUAAAGCUAAAUACCGGCCAGAGACCGAUAGCGCACAAGUAGAGUGAUCGAAAGAUGAAAAGUACUUUGGAAAGAGAGUUAAAAAGCACGUGAAAUUGUUGAAAGGGAAGCGCCUGCAAUCAGACUUCGCGGCAGUGUUCCGCCGGCCUUCUGGCCGGUUCAUUCUCUGUCGCGAGGCCAUCAUCGUCUCGGCCCGCUGGAUAAGACCUUGGGAAUGUAGCUCACCUUCGGGGGAGUGUUAUAGCUCAUGGUGAUGCAGCGAGGCUGGGGCGAGGUCCGCGCUUCGGCAAGGAUGAUGGCGUAAUGGUUGUCGGCGGCCCGUCUUGAAACACGGACCAAGGAGUCUAACAUCUAUGCGAGUGUUCGGGUGUCAAACCCCUACGCGUAAUGAAAGUGAACGGAGGUGGGAACCGCAAGGUGCACCAUCGACCGAUCCUGAUGUCCUCGGAUGGAUUUGAGUAAGAGCAUAGCUGUUGGGACCCGAAAGAUGGUGAACUAUGCCUGAAUAGGGUGAAGCCAGAGGAAACUCUGGUGGAGGCUCGCAGCGGUUCUGACGUGCAAAUCGAUCGUCAAAUUUGGGUAUAGGGGCGAAAGACUAAUCGAACCAUCUAGUAGCUGGUUCCUGCCGAAG
Molecule: ribosomal RNA, 901 nt
Filed under: Sphaerulina gei
Lineage: Eukaryota; Fungi; Ascomycota; Dothideomycetes; Mycosphaerellales; Mycosphaerellaceae
Description: LSU rRNA
Rfam family: Eukaryotic large subunit ribosomal RNA
Source: RNAcentral